AGACAUUGACGGUACCGAAAAAGCAAGCCACGGCUAACUACGUGCCAGCAGCCGCGGUAAUACGUAGGUGGCAAGCGUUGUCCGGAAUUAUUGGGCGUAAAGCGCGCGCAGGCGGUUUCUUAAGUCCAUCUUAAAAGCGUGGGGCUCAACCCCAUGAGGGGAUGGAAACUGGGAAGCUGGAGUAUCGGAGAGGAAAGUGGAAUUCCUAGUGUAGCGGUGAAAUGCGUAGAGAUUAGGAAGAACACCGGUGGCGAAGGCGACUUUCUAGACGAAAACUGACGCUGAGGCGCGAAAGCGUGGGGAGCAAACAGGAUUAGAUACCCUGGUAGUCCACGCCGUAAACGAUGGAUACUAGGUGUAGGAGGUAUCGACCCCUCCUGUGCCGGAGUUAACGCAAUAAGUAUCCCGCCUGGGGAAGUACGAUCGCCAGAUUAAACUCAAAGGAAUUGACGGGGGGCCCGCACCAGCGGUGGAGUAUGUGGGUUUAAUUCGACGC
This 496-nucleotide ribosomal RNA is filed under the name Dialister pneumosintes. RNAcentral describes it as "bacterial SSU rRNA". It matches the Rfam family "Bacterial small subunit ribosomal RNA", at positions 464 to 957 of the family's 1533-position model. Lineage: Bacteria; Bacillati; Bacillota; Negativicutes; Veillonellales; Veillonellaceae. The record is from RNAcentral.